UGGCGAACGGGUGAGUAACACGUGGGUGAUCUGCCCUGCACUCUGGGAUAAGCCUGGGAAACUGGGUCUAAUACCGGAUAGGACCAUGCUUUAGUGUGGUGGUUGGAAAGUUUUUUCGGUGUAGGAUGAGCUCGCGGCCUAUCAGCUUGUUGGUGGGGUAAUGGCCUACCAAGGCGGCGACGGGUAGCCGGCCUGAGAGGGUGAUCGGCCACACUGGAACUGAGACACGGUCCAG
This 235-nucleotide ribosomal RNA is filed under the name uncultured Actinomycetales bacterium. Its description in RNAcentral is "partial 16S ribosomal RNA". It matches the Rfam family "Bacterial small subunit ribosomal RNA", at positions 96 to 334 of the family's 1533-position model. The record is from RNAcentral. Lineage: Bacteria; Bacillati; Actinomycetota; Actinomycetes; Actinomycetales.